ACCAGGAUGGCCGAUUGGUUAAGCGUGCUGGACUUAAGAUCCAAUGGGCGUAUGUCCUCGUGGGUUCGAACCCCACCCUGGUA
Molecule: transfer RNA, 83 nt
Filed under: Alosa alosa (allis shad)
Lineage: Eukaryota; Metazoa; Chordata; Actinopteri; Clupeiformes; Clupeidae
Description: tRNA-Leu
Rfam family: tRNA
About the family: Transfer RNA (tRNA) molecules are approximately 80 nucleotides in length. Their secondary structure includes four short double-helical elements and three loops (D, anti-codon, and T loops). Further hydrogen bonds mediate the characteristic L-shaped molecular structure. tRNAs have two regions of fundamental functional importance: the anti-codon, which is responsible for specific mRNA codon recognition, and the 3' end, to which the tRNAs corresponding amino acid is attached (by aminoacyl-tRNA synthetases). tRNAs cope with the degeneracy of the genetic code in two manners: having more than one tRNA (with a specific anti-codon) for a particular amino acid; and 'wobble' base-pairing, i.e. permitting non-standard base-pairing at the 3rd anti-codon position.
Source: RNAcentral